GAUGAAGAACGCAGUGAAAUGCGAUAAGUAAUGUGAAUUGCAGAAUUCAGUGAAUCAUCGAAUCUUUGAACGCACAUUGCGCCCGCCGGUAUUCCGGCGGGCAUGCCUGUUCGAGCGUCAUUUCAACCCUCAAGCUCUGCUUGGUAUUGGGCUCUGCCGGUCCCGGCAGGCCUUAAAAUCAGUGGCGGUGCCACUCGGCUUCAAGCGUAGUAAUUCUUCUCGCUUCGGAGACCCGGGUGCGUGCUAGCCAGCAACCCCCAACUUUCUCAGGUUGACCUCGGAUCAGGUAGGGAUACCCGCUGAACUUAAGCAUAUCAAUAAGCGGAGGA
This 329-nucleotide unclassified non-coding RNA is filed under the name soil metagenome. RNAcentral's name for it is "partial contains 5.8S ribosomal RNA, internal transcribed spacer 2, and large subunit ribosomal RNA". The stretch from base 1 to 120 matches the Rfam family "5.8S ribosomal RNA", at positions 35 to 154 of the family's 154-position model. The record is from RNAcentral.